AGUCGAGCGGACAGAAGGGAGCUUGCUCCCGGAUGUUAGCGGCGGACGGGUGAGUAACACGUGGGUAACCUGCCUGUAAGACUGGGAUAACUCCGGGAAACCGGAGCUAAUACCGGAUAGUUCCUUGAACCGCAUGGUUCAAGGAUGAAAGACGGUUUCGGCUGUCACUUACAGAUGGACCCGCGGCGCAUUAGCUAGUUGGUGGGGUAAUGGCUCACCAAGGCGACGAUGCGUAGCCGACCUGAGAGGGUGAUCGGCCACACUGGGACUGAGACCGGCCCAGACUCCUACGGGAGGCAGCAGUAGGGAAUCUUCCGCAAUGGACGAAAGUCUGACGGAGCAACGCCGCGUGAGUGAUGAAGGUUUUCGGAUCGUAAAGCUCUGUUGUUAGGGAACAACAAGUGCGAGAGUAACUGCUCGCACCUUGACAGUACCUAACCAUAAAGCCACGGCUAACUAAGUGCCACCAGACGCGGUAAUACGUAUGUGGCAGCUGUUGUCCGGAAUUAUUGGGCGUAAAGGUGUCGCAGGCGCUUUCAUAUGUCUGAUGUGAAAGCCCUCGGAUCAACCGCGGAGGGUCAAUGGAUUCUGGCAUACUUGACUGCACAAGAGGACAGUGGAAUUCCACGUGUAACGAUGCAAUGCGUACAGAUGUGAAGGACCGCCAGUGGCAACCUGUACUCUCUGCUCUGUAACUGACGCUGAGGAGCGAAAGCGAGGGGAGAGACCACGAUUAGAUUGGUGGUCAUUCCACUCUGUACACGAUGAGUGGCUAGUGUUAGGGUGUUUCUGCCCCUUACUGCUGUAGCUUACCCAUGUAUCAAUCGACCUGGGCAGUACGAUCGGAGGCUGUAACUCAAAGAAUUGACGGGGG
This 874-nucleotide ribosomal RNA is filed under the name Bacillus subtilis. RNAcentral describes it as "bacterial SSU rRNA". It matches the Rfam family "Bacterial small subunit ribosomal RNA", at positions 60 to 919 of the family's 1533-position model. Lineage: Bacteria; Bacillati; Bacillota; Bacilli; Caryophanales; Bacillaceae. The record is from RNAcentral.